This 415-nucleotide ribosomal RNA is filed under the name uncultured archaeon. Its description in RNAcentral is "partial 16S ribosomal RNA". It matches the Rfam family "Archaeal small subunit ribosomal RNA", at positions 330 to 747 of the family's 1478-position model. The record is from RNAcentral.
GUGCAGCAGGCGCGAAAACUCCACAAUGCACGAAAGUGCGAUGGGGCCACCCCGAGUGCUGUCCGAUGAGGAUAGCUUUUCACCGGUGUAAGGAGCCGGUGGAAGAAGGGGAGGGCAAGACUGGUGUCAGCCGCCGCGGUAAUACCAGCUCCCCGAGUGGUGGGGGCGAUUAUUGGGCCUAAAGCGUCCGUAGCCGGUUUAGCUAGUCUCUCGUUAAAUCUGACGAUCCAAUCGCCAGGCCGCGGGAGAUACUGCUAGGCUAGGGGGCGGGAGAGGUCGACGGUACUUCCGGAGUAGGGGUGAAAUCCUAAGAUCCCGGAAGGACCACCAGUGGCGAAGGCGGUCGACCAGAACGCGCCUGACGGUGAGGGACGAAAGCUGGGGGAGCGAACCGGAUUAGAUACCCGGGUAGUCC